UACGGGGGGAGCAAGCGUUGUUCGGAUUUACUGGGCGUAAAGGGCGCGUAGGCGGUCGUGACAAGUCACUUGUGAAAUCUCCGGGCUUAACUCGGAACGGUCAAGUGAUACUGUCGGACUAGAGUACAGAAGGGGCAACUGGAAUUCUCGGUGUAGCGGUGAAAUGCGUAGAUAUCGAGAGGAACACCUGCGGCGAAGGCGGCCAUCUGGACGGUAACUGACGCUGAGACGCGAAAGCGUGGGUAGCAAACAGG
This 254-nucleotide ribosomal RNA is filed under the name uncultured bacterium. RNAcentral's name for it is "partial 16S ribosomal RNA". It matches the Rfam family "Bacterial small subunit ribosomal RNA", at positions 524 to 776 of the family's 1533-position model. The record is from RNAcentral.